AUUGAACGCUGGCGGCAGGCCUAACACAUGCAAGUCGAACGGUAACAGGAAGCAGCUUGCUGCUUUGCUGACGAGUGGCGGACGGGUGAGUAAUGUCUGGGAAACUGCCCGAUGGAGGGGGAUAACUACUGGAAACGGUAGCUAAUACCGCAUAACGUCGCAAGACCAAAGGGGGGGACCUAGGGGCUCCUUGCAUCGGAUGUGGCCAGGUGGGAUUAGCUAGUAGGUGGGGUAACGGCUCACCUAGGCGACGAUCCCUAGCUGGUCUGAGAGGAUGACCAGCCACACUGGAACUGAGACACGGUCCAGACUCCUACGGGAGGCAGCAGUGGGGAAUAUUGCACAAUGGGCGCAAGCCUGAUGCAGCCAUGCCGCGUGUAUGAAGAAGGCCUUCGGGUUGUAAAGUACUUUCAGCGGGGAGGAAGGGAGUAAAGUUAAUACCUUUGCUCAUUGACGUUACCCGCAGAAGAAGCACCGGCUAACUCCGUG
Molecule: ribosomal RNA, 489 nt
Filed under: uncultured bacterium
Lineage: Bacteria
Description: partial 16S ribosomal RNA
Rfam family: Bacterial small subunit ribosomal RNA
Source: RNAcentral